Long non-coding RNA from Carassius auratus (goldfish), 591 nucleotides. RefSeq lists it as uncharacterized. The transcript is spliced from 2 exons. The record is from RefSeq and is a predicted model, not a curated record. NCBI's taxonomy places the organism in Eukaryota, Metazoa, Chordata, Actinopteri, Cypriniformes, Cyprinidae.
GGUCAGAGAAGUAAAGACACAAGCAACAUUCAAAUAUGUGGAUGACCUGCUGGACCUCAUAUUUGAUAAAGUCUUUGUGGAUCCUGCACCAUAUGUGGAUGAUGUUUUGAGGAUACCAAUACCACCAGCAUUGUGCGCAGAGUAUGACCGGCCAGAGAAGGAGGAGGCCAUCUCUAGUAGGGUAUCUCGGUUUAAUCAAUAGGUGGUCGAAAACCUACAUAACUACCCUGGGCAUCAGGAAACUCUCUUCGAAUCCUCAGGACCACACAGGAUGGAAUCACAACUCGAACUUUUCGUCCAAGGAAACCCCAGCACCAGCUCACAAAACUCCGAUAAGCUAAAAAUCUGUAACGACUAAGGCACACACACACAUAGCCACGUUCUCAAAACAGGGUUCAAGGAUUUUUCUGUGUUUUUUUUCUUUCAAAUAUCUAUCAUUUGUUGUCUGGAGUUGAAAUAUUUGAUAUUUAAUUGAUCAUGGUUCAAUUUUUUUUGGAGGAAUGUCCUUUUAUUAAAAUUAUUUAAUUUCUAAACUUAUUUGUACAGUUCAGUGUCUUUAUACAUAAUGUAAAUAAAAAAAUGUAUAUGCAA